GUGGGGAAUAUUGGACAAUGGGGGGAACCCUGAUCCAGCCAUGCCGCGUGUGUGAAGAAGGCCUUUUGGUUGUAAAGCACUUUAAGCGAGGAGGAGGCUACCGAGAUUAAUACUCUUGGAUAGUGGACGUUACUCGCAGAAUAAGCACCGGCUAACUCUGUGCCAGCAGCCGCGGUAAUACAGAGGGUGCAAGCGUUAAUCGGAUUUACUGGGCGUAAAGCGCGCGUAGGUGGCCAAUUAAGUCAAAUGUGAAAUCCCCGGGCUUAACUUGGGAAUUGCAUUCGAUACUGGUUGGCUAGAGUAUGGGAGAGGAUGGUAGAAUUCCAGGUGUAGCGGUGAAAUGCGUAGAGAUCUGGAGGAAUACCGAUGGCGAAGGCAGCCAUCUGGCCUAAUACUGACACUGAGGUGCGAAAGCAUGGGGAGCAAACAGGAUUAGAAACCCUGGUAGUCC
RNAcentral lists this ribosomal RNA (451 nucleotides) under uncultured bacterium. Its description in RNAcentral is "partial 16S ribosomal RNA". It matches the Rfam family "Bacterial small subunit ribosomal RNA", at positions 354 to 796 of the family's 1533-position model. The record is from RNAcentral.